This 429-nucleotide ribosomal RNA is filed under the name bacterium. RNAcentral's name for it is "partial 16S ribosomal RNA". It matches the Rfam family "Bacterial small subunit ribosomal RNA", at positions 355 to 776 of the family's 1533-position model. The record is from RNAcentral.
UAGGGAAUCUUCGGCAAUGGGGGCAACCCUGACCGAGCAACGCCGCGUGAGUGAAGAAGGUUUUCGGAUCGUAAAGCUCUGUUGUAAGAGAAGAACGUGUGUGAGAGUGGAAAGUUCACACAGUGACGGUAACUUACCAGAAAGGGACGGCUAACUACGUGCCAGCAGCCGCGGUAAUACGUAGGUCCCGAGCGGUGUCCGGAUUUUUUGGUGGUAAAGCGAGCGCAGGCGGUUUAAUAAGUCGGAAGUUAAAGGCAGUGGCUUAACCAUUGUUCGCUUUGGAAACUGUUAAACUUGAGGGCAGAAGGGGAGGGUGGAAUUCCAUGUGUAGCGGUGAAAUGCGUAGAUAUAUGGAGGAACACCGGUGGCGAAAGCGGCUCUCUGGUCUGUAACUGACGCUAAGGCUCGAAAGCGUGGGGAGCAAACAGG